GAUGAUUCGAACAUGGCAGAGAGCAGGGUGAUCCUUCGACAAGCCAGGGAACACCAAAGAUUGCCAGCAACCACCAGAAGUUAGGACAGAAGCAUGGGACAGAUUCUUCCUCAGAAUCCUUACAAGGAACCAACCCUGCCACAAUCUUGACCUCAAACUGCUAACCUGCAGAAUGCUGCUAUGUCAACAUAUAACUUUAAGAAGUAUGACUUUUCAAGAGCGUGGUGUUGGGGGACUGAUGAUCAACCGUCCUGCUACUCUCUACAGAGCAUGGAUCUACCUGUCCUUACCCAGCUCCCCAUGGCGCAGGCUCCAUCUCCUCAACUUAGAGAGAUUGUUGGGCUGUGACUGAACCACCCACCCCCAGAACUGGAGCCUGGAGACACAACCCAGGAAGGAAGCUGGGGCAACAGCAGUGCC
This is a long non-coding RNA of Phyllostomus hastatus (greater spear-nosed bat), 420 nucleotides long. RefSeq lists it as uncharacterized. NCBI's taxonomy places the organism in Eukaryota, Metazoa, Chordata, Mammalia, Chiroptera, Phyllostomidae. The transcript has 3 exons. The record is from RefSeq and is a predicted model, not a curated record.